Molecule: long non-coding RNA, 1386 nt
Organism: Octopus sinensis (East Asian common octopus)
Lineage: Eukaryota; Metazoa; Mollusca; Cephalopoda; Octopoda; Octopodidae
Exons: 2
Source: RefSeq, a predicted model, not a curated record
CAAAGAAUAAGUCAUGAUAUCAUUUUCUUUAACUAAAACACCCUUUAAGGCAGUGCUCCAGCAUGGCUGCAGUUAAAUGACUGAAACAAAUAAAAGAAUAUACAUACAUAGAGUGAUUCAUAUAAUCUUGAGAUUUUGUAUAUAUUCCUUUCUACCAGUGUGUAACUGGUACAUAUUUCAUUAAACCCCAAAAAAUGUAAGGAUGGAUGAAAUGCCGCUAAGCAUUUUGCCUGGCAUGCUAAUGAUUCUGCCAGUUUGCCACCUUAGACAUUGUAUAUAUUAAACCAUGAUAUCUACCAUUUAAACUAGUUCAGUUAUUGAACAUUUGAUAGUAGUUGCGGGCCUUUGUUACUGGCUAAUUCAUAAUUUGCUAUUUGCAGACAGAUCAUAAACUAAGGACAAUUGGUGGGAUUUCAGGAUCUAUGUAAUGGUACAGUAGCAAUGCCUCUAGUCAAAAAAUUUUGUUUGUUGGGUGAGGCUAAUAAAUUAUUCUUACCUCCCUUAGUCUCUCUAUAUAACUUAUCCUUAUUGUUAAUACAGAAGUAUGCUGAAUACUUUAUUUGUUGAAGAUAACUGGCUAUUGUACUUUUUUUUUUCCAAUAAAUUACCUUUAACUUGUCUGUAUUGCUAUCAAUAUAUAUAUAUAUAUAUAUAUAUAUAAAUUAGAAAACAAAAACCUUUUAUCACCUUCUAAUUUAUAUAUAUAUAUAUAUUAUAUUUUGUGAAAUUUGAUUUGGUAUUUCUAAAUUGAAUUUUUCCCUGUAAGUUUGGAAUAAUAUUCCCUCAUAUUAUUACAAUAUAUAUAUAUAUAAUAUAAUAUAUAUAUAUAUAUAAUCCGAGAAUGCCAAGUUAACUUAUUCACGGGUAAACUUAUUACUUAUUGAUUGCUAUUUGUUUAGACUAAAUAUGCUUGCUUGUUUUAUUUCAACCACACAUCACUAUUGCUUCAUUUGAUUUCAUUUACAGCCAUUGAGGUAGACUUGAAUUGUGAUGCUGUAGAGGGUGGUUUCCUCUACUCUGUCCAUGAGGUUUUUGGGACAACAAAUGGUCAUUGGCCUUUUUAGUCCAGCUAAAUUCAUUGUGUGGCUGCAUGCUAAAAAUAUUAUUAUAUAAUUGCUUCUUUGGUUUGCUGUCCAAUUACUUUACACUUACAAACUUAGCCUUUGUAACAUCUAACUAUUAUAAGAUUAAGUUUACCUUAAUUGUAAACCUAUUUUCCCUUGUUUUCGAACAAGGUGCAUCUUUCACCUACAAUUAAUAUUCAGUAACACACUUUUUCUGUUUUUAUCCUUUUUAAGGUAGGAUUUAAUAAUAAAUUUUACCAUUUUCAGAAUGUUUUCUCUUUACUUUAUACAUUUUAUUUUGUUAUAAAAUAUAUUUCUGCAA